CCUACGGGUGGCAGCAGUGAGGAAUAUUGGUCAAUGGCCGCAGGGCUGAACCAGCCAAGUCGCGUGAGGGAUGACGGUCCUAUGGAUUGUAAACCUCUUUUGUCAGGGAGCAAAGGGCGCCACGUGUGGCGUUUUGCGAGUACCUGAAGAAAAAGCAUCGGCUAACUCCGUGCCAGCAGCCGCGGUAAUACGGAGGAUGCGAGCGUUAUCCGGAUUUAUUGGGUUUAAAGGGUGCGUAGGCGGAUUUUUAAGUCAGCGGUAAAAUGUCCGGGCUCAACCCGGGCCGGCCGUUGAAACUGGGGAUCUUGAGUGGGCGAGAAGUAUGCGGAAUGCGUGGUGUAGCGGUGAAAUGCAUAGAUAUCACGCAGAACUCCGAUUGCGAAGGCAGCAUACCGGCGCCCGACUGACGCUGAGGCACGAAAGCGUGGGGAUCGAACAGGAUUAGAUACCCCGGUAGUC
This 459-nucleotide ribosomal RNA is filed under the name uncultured bacterium. RNAcentral describes it as "partial 16S ribosomal RNA". It matches the Rfam family "Bacterial small subunit ribosomal RNA", at positions 338 to 795 of the family's 1533-position model. The record is from RNAcentral.